RNAcentral lists this ribosomal RNA (466 nucleotides) under uncultured bacterium. RNAcentral's name for it is "partial 16S ribosomal RNA". It matches the Rfam family "Bacterial small subunit ribosomal RNA", at positions 28 to 507 of the family's 1533-position model. The record is from RNAcentral.
GAUGAACGCUGGCGGCGUGCUUAACACAUGCAAGUCGAACGAUGACGCCCAGCUUGCUGGGUGUAUUAGUGGCGAACGGGUGAGUAACACGUGAGUAACCUGCCCUUGACUCUGGGAUAAGCCUGGGCAACUGGGUCUAAUACUGGAUAUGACUUCUCAUCGCAUGGUGGGGGGUGGAAAGAUUUAUUGGUCUUGGAUGGACUCGCGGCCUAUUAGCUUGUUGGUGAGGUAAUGGCUCACGAAGGCGACGACGGGUAGCCGGCCUGAGAGGGUGACCGGCCACACUGGGACUGAGACACGGCCCAGACUCCUACGGGAGGCAGCAGUGGGGAAUAUUGCACAAUGGGCGCAAGCCUGAUGCAGCGACGCCGCGUGAGGGAUGACGGCCUUCGGGUUGUAAACCUCUUUCAGUAGGGAAGAAGCGAGAGUGACGGUACCUGCAGAAGAAGCGCCGGCUAACUACGUG